Planococcus citri (citrus mealybug) is the source of this 1730-nucleotide long non-coding RNA. RefSeq lists it as uncharacterized. The transcript has 8 exons. Lineage: Eukaryota; Metazoa; Arthropoda; Insecta; Hemiptera; Pseudococcidae. The record is from RefSeq and is a predicted model, not a curated record.
UUCGCUUUCUUGGUCAAAAUCAAAAUCAAAACUAUCAAAAAUAUCUUGUCCUGUCAGUGUUUUUAUUUCUUUUUAAUAAUUGGCUACACUGGUAAUCAGUUUUUGAGUUGGGCCGUUUCUGGAAAAGAAACGUUUCUGUUACGUUAACAAAACAGAACACCUGAUGACCUGAAGUACAGGGUACAGUACCUCAAGUACCUGAAGAAAUCACUGAAAUCAGUAAUGUAAUCACAUCUACUAAUCUAGGAUAGCUGAUUUAGGUCAGCGGAAUUUGGUUUCUGAUUCAUGAUUGCUAAUUAAUUGGUCUUUUGCUGAGGUAAUUGUGUAAUAUUUUUACUAUUUGUCAAUCAUCAAUCAAUAAUUUGAAAACUUGACCAAAGUAAGUAUAGAAGAAACGCUUCCAGAAUCUUCAACAAUACAAAUAUGUAUGUAUGUACAUCUACAUAAAUAACGAAGGAAUCCAUCGGAGACAAGAACCAGAAUCGAUCGUGAGUAUAAGUCAAGUUGAUAUGCGAAAACCGUCAACCGAAAACGUAGAUGUAUCUACCUACAAGAUACUAUUUUAAACCAAGUUUCCAAUGAAUGGGCAGAUUUCAUUGACUACACAAUUCUUCACCGCCUCGCCAAAAUGUUCCAAACGUUGCUUUUGAUCGGGUUAUCAUAACAAGAAUAAUGUGGCAAAAUAAACUACCAGAUCGUGUUUUAUUAUUUUGUUGGCGAAUACUGAAUUCGAACCUUUCCAGAGGAGCAAGAUAAGAUCUGCACGGUGUUUUUUAUUUGUGAACGUGGCUUGCUGUGUAUCUAUAUAACUACCUAGCUUGUGAACUCUCAUAUAUAUUCAGCAUAAUCGCUUAAUCGCCAGGUUCGACCGUACAAAACUUUCAAGUCCAACUCCAGAGUCUAGACUUGACUCAGCCAUCACCAGUGAAACGAGUCCUUGUUUAUGAGAUGAGUUAUGAGUUCAGUGACACCUUAUAUUUUGCGCCAAGUUUUCUGAUGGGCUCAUUCUCCUGAAGAAUGUUCGUUCUGUUUCGAAGAACAAAGCUGAUUAUGAAUUAGAAUUAUGGUUGAAGAAAAAACGUGAAGUGAAUCGAGUCAGUCAGCAGAGAAGAAGUACCUAAUGUGCAAGAUUAUUGUGGAAUAAUUUUGAAUAGCUACAAUUAUUCUGCAAGGAGGAUAGGAAGAAGUUCAGCUCAAAAGUUCUGAAAAUCACCGAAGACUAAUUUUUCGUGAAACAUAAUGUUGAAUAUCGAGAUCUGAAUUCUGAAUUGGUGAUAUUUUGGCGUCUUCGAGAAUUUUUCCCUAUACAAAGAAUUGGCAAUGAAAACAAAUGCAUAAUUUGAAAUUUGCUCUCUGCGAAGUGAAUGAAAAUAUUUGAGGCAUCCAUCGCUCGUCCUCGCUGCAUCGUUCCAACUGUAUCGGAUGAACAGAUGAAAAAUUGGAAGCUAAAUGAGACCAUGAGAUAUCUGCGCGUGGCACUAUUGAAAGCUGGAACAACAGUAAAUCUGCUAAGGAUUUGGUCAGGAAGAACUUCAACCGUGUCAUCGUAUGCAUCUUCUCGUAAAAUAGAAUGAAUAGAUGAAAAAUUGGAAGCUAAAUGAGACCAUGAGAUACUGCGAGUAGCACUAUUGAAAGCUGGAACAACAGUAAAUCUGCUGAGGAUUUGGUCAGGAAGAACUACAACCAUGUCAUCGUAUGUACCUAUCUUUUCGUAAAAUAGGUGAGUUUUG